GCGAGGGGAGUGAAAAAGAACCUGAAACCGUGUACGUACAAGCAGUGGGAGCCUCUUUAUGGGGUGACUGCGUACCUUUUGUAUAAUGGGUCAGCGACUUAUAUUCUGUAGCAAGGUUAACCGAAUAGGGGAGCCGAAGGGAAACCGAGUCUUAACUGGGCGUUAAGUUGCAGGGUAUAGACCCGAAACCCGGUGAUCUAGCCAUGGGCAGGUUGAAGGUUGGGUAACACUAACUGGAGGACCGAACCGACUAAUGUUGAAAAAUUAGCGGAUGACUUGUGGCUGGGGGUGAAAGGCCAAUCAAACCGGGAGAUAGCUGGUUCUCCCCGAAAGCUAUUUAGGUAGCGCCUCGUGAAUUCAUCUCCGGGGGUAGAGCACUGUUUCGGCAAGGGGGUCAUCCCGACUUACCAACCCGAUGCAAACUGCGAAUACCGGAGAAUGUUAUCACGGGAGACACACGGCGGGUGCUAACGUCCGUCGUGAAGAGGGAAACAACCCAGACCGCCAGCUAAGGUCCCAAAGUCAUGGUUAAGUGGGAAACGAUGUGGGAAGGCCCAGACAGCCAGGAUGUUGGCUUAGAAGCAGCCAUCAUUUAAAGAAAGCGUAAUAGCUCACUGGUCGAGUCGGCCUGCGCGGAAGAUGUAACGGGGCUAAACC
RNAcentral lists this ribosomal RNA (657 nucleotides) under Escherichia coli. Its description in RNAcentral is "partial 23S ribosomal RNA". It matches the Rfam family "Bacterial large subunit ribosomal RNA", at positions 529 to 1188 of the family's 2925-position model. Lineage: Bacteria; Pseudomonadati; Pseudomonadota; Gammaproteobacteria; Enterobacterales; Enterobacteriaceae. The record is from RNAcentral.